RNAcentral lists this unclassified non-coding RNA (353 nucleotides) under soil metagenome. Its description in RNAcentral is "partial contains 5.8S ribosomal RNA, internal transcribed spacer 2, and large subunit ribosomal RNA". The stretch from base 1 to 120 matches the Rfam family "5.8S ribosomal RNA", at positions 35 to 154 of the family's 154-position model. The record is from RNAcentral.
GAUGAAGAACGUAGCGAAAUGCGAUAAGUAAUGUGAAUUGCAGAAUUCAGUGAAUCAUCGAAUCUUUGAACGCACAUUGCGCCCGCCAGUAUUCUGGCGGGCAUGCCUGUUCGAGCGUCAUUACAACCCUCAGGCCCCCGGGCCUGGCGUUGGGGAUCGGCGGAAGCCCCCUGCGGGCACAACGCCGUCCCCCAAAUACAGUGGCGGUCCCGCCGCAGCUUCCAUUGCGUAGUAGCUAACACCUCGCAACUGGAGAGCGGCGCGGCCACGCCGUAAAACACCCAACUUAUGAAUGUUGACCUCGAAUCAGGUACGAAUACCCGCUGAACUUAAGCAUAUCAAUAAGCGGAGGA